GGAGCAAUCCAUGAGUACAGUGGCGUACGGGUGAGUAACACGUGGGUAAUCUACCCUUUGGUGGGGAAUAACUCUGGGAAACCGGAGCUAAUACCGCAUAAUCCUGAGAAGGAAAAGCAGCAAUGCACCGAAGGAGGAGCCCGCGGCCGAUUAGCCAGUUGGUAGGGUAAUGGCCUACCAAAGCAAAGAUCGGUAUCCGGCCUGAGAGGGCACACGGCCACACUGGCACUGAAACACGGGCCAGACUCCUACGGGAGGCAGCAGUGGGGAAUCUUGCACAAUGGGGGAAACUCUGAUGCAGCGACGCCGCGUGAGCGAUGAAGCCCUUCGGGGUGUAAAGCUCUUUCGGCAGGGAAGAUUAUGACGGUACCUGCAGAAACAGCUGCGGCUAACUACGUGCCAGCAGCCGCGGUAAUACGUAGGCAGCAAGCGUUGUUCGGAGUUACUGGGCGUAAAGGGUGUGUACGCGGCUUCUUAAGUUUGGUGUGAAAU
Molecule: ribosomal RNA, 492 nt
Filed under: uncultured bacterium
Lineage: Bacteria
Description: bacterial SSU rRNA
Rfam family: Bacterial small subunit ribosomal RNA
Source: RNAcentral